CUGAGAUUAAAAGUUAUUUAAUAAGUUGAUUGAAUUAUAAAAAAUUAGGACAGAGUGUCUGUUUGGAGUUUUUAUAUUUUUGGCGAUUAAUCUUAAGCCCAGAGGAUGGAACAUUUAGAUUUGUUUAUUUUUCUACUGUCGAAGAUAAAUUUCAAUGAUUAAUUCGGAACUGACCUACAAGUAAGUAUAUAAAUACAAGUCACUUGAGUUUGUCAGAACUGUUUGAGUAGAUAAUCAACGGACAAUGAGAGGAAUCAUAAAGAUCAGUCUUGGGGUUCUCAUCGUGGUCCGGAUAAUAAAUUCAGGCGGACAAGUGUUGGCGAAAAAGUCUAACAACGAUAAAUUUGAUUUGUCGGCGAUAGAAAGCCGGAAAAUAGCAGUAAAAAGUGAUCGACUUUGGAAUCAAGGAAUUAUUCCCUACAUAGUCAAGAAAGCUCUUGCUUGGAAACAUAGCUGGUUUGUUACACGCGCGAUUAAAUUCUUAAAAACUUGUGUUAAUUUUAUUAACUAUGAACAAGAUCAACAUCCAAAUUAUAUGCUUUUUACUAAAUCAGACAA
Long non-coding RNA from Cotesia glomerata, 558 nucleotides. RefSeq lists it as uncharacterized. NCBI's taxonomy places the organism in Eukaryota, Metazoa, Arthropoda, Insecta, Hymenoptera, Braconidae. The record is from RefSeq and is a predicted model, not a curated record. The transcript is spliced from 2 exons.